CAGUCGCCGCGGUAAUACGAGGGGAGCUAGCGUUGUUCGGAAUUACUGGGCGUAAAGCGCGCGUAGGCGGCUUUUUAAGUCAGAGGUGAAAGCCCGGGGCUCAACCCCGGAAUUGCCUUUGAAACUGGAAAGCUAGAAUCUUGGAGAGGUCAGUGGAAUUCCGAGUGUAGAGGUGAAAUUCGUAGAUAUUCGGAAGAACACCAGUGGCGAAGGCGACUGACUGGACAAGUAUUGACGCUGAGGUGCGAAAGCGUGGGGAGCAAACAGGAUUAGAUACCCGGGUAGUCCCUGUCUCUUAUAC
RNAcentral lists this ribosomal RNA (301 nucleotides) under uncultured bacterium. RNAcentral's name for it is "partial 16S ribosomal RNA". It matches the Rfam family "Bacterial small subunit ribosomal RNA", at positions 509 to 807 of the family's 1533-position model. The record is from RNAcentral.